UAGAGUUUGAUCAUGGCUCAUGAUGAACGCUAGCGGGAGGCCUAACACAUGCAAGCCGAGCGGUAGAGUUUCUUCGGAAACUUGAGAGCGGCGCACGGGUGCGGAACACGUGUGCAACCUGCCUUUAUCUGGGGGAUAGCCUUUCGAAAGGAAGAUUAAUACCCCAUAAUAUAUUGAUUGGCAUCAGUUAAUAUUGAAAACUCCGGUGGAUAAAGAUGGGCACGCGUAAGAUUAGAUAGUUGGUGAGGUAACGGCUCACCAAGUCAACGAUCUUUAGGGGGCCUGAGAGGGUGAUCCCCCACACUGGUACUGAGACACGGACCAGACUCCUACGGGAGGCAGCAGUGAGGAAUAUUGGACAAUGGGUGAGAGCCUGAUCCAGCCAUCCCGCGUGAAGGAAUAAGGACCUAUGGUUUGUAAACUUCUUUCGUACAGGGGAUAAACCUACUCACGUGUGAGUAGCUGAAGGUACUGUACGAAUAAGCACCGGCUAACUCCGUGCCAGCAGCCGCGGUAAUACGGAGGGUGCAAGCGUUAUCC
Molecule: ribosomal RNA, 540 nt
Filed under: uncultured bacterium
Lineage: Bacteria
Description: bacterial SSU rRNA
Rfam family: Bacterial small subunit ribosomal RNA
Source: RNAcentral